GACGAACGCUGGCGGCGUGCUUAACACAUGCAAGUCGAACGGAAAGGCCCUGCUUUUGCGGGGUGCUCGAGUGGCGAACGGGUGAGUAACACGUGAGUAACCUGCCCUUGACUUUGGGAUAACUUCAGGAAACUGGGGCUAAUACCGGAUAGGAGCUCCUGCUGCAUGGUGGGGGUUGGAAAGUUUCGGCGGUUGGGGAUGGACUCGCGGCUUAUCAGCUUGUUGGUGGGGUAGUGGCUUACCAAGGCUUUGACGGGUAGCCGGCCUGAGAGGGUGACCGGCCACAUUGGGACUGAGAUACGGCCCAGACUCCUACGGGAGGCAGCAGUGGGGAAUAUUGCACAAUGGGCGGAAGCCUGAUGCAGCAACGCCGCGUGCGGGAUGACGGCCUUCGUGUUGUAAACCGCUUUCGCCUGUGACGAAGCGUGAGUGACGGUAAUGGGUAAAGAAGCACCGGCUAACUACGUG
RNAcentral lists this ribosomal RNA (468 nucleotides) under uncultured bacterium. Its description in RNAcentral is "partial 16S ribosomal RNA". It matches the Rfam family "Bacterial small subunit ribosomal RNA", at positions 28 to 507 of the family's 1533-position model. The record is from RNAcentral.